UCAACGAGUCGGGUUGUUUGGGAAUGCAGCCCAAAUCGGGCGGUAGACUCCGUCCAAGGCUAAAUACAGGCGAGAGACCGAUAGCGAACAAGUACCGCGAGGGAAAGAUGAAAAGGACUUUGAAAAGAGAGUCAAAGAGUGGCGGCCAAAGCCCGGGGGCCCUAGGUGCCCCCGGUGGCCGUCGUCGGCACGGCCGGUACCCGCGCGCCGAAAGGCGUGUCCCUCGGGGCACUGCGCUGCAACGGCCUGCGGGCUCCCCAU
This 261-nucleotide ribosomal RNA is filed under the name Triticum aestivum (bread wheat). RNAcentral's name for it is "partial small subunit ribosomal RNA". It matches the Rfam family "Eukaryotic large subunit ribosomal RNA", at positions 257 to 652 of the family's 3401-position model. Lineage: Eukaryota; Viridiplantae; Streptophyta; Magnoliopsida; Poales; Poaceae. The record is from RNAcentral.